UGCCAGACUCCUACGGGAGGCAGCAGUGGGGAAUAUUGCACAAUGGGGGAAACCCUGAUGCAGCGACGCCGCGUGAAGGAAGAAGUAUCUCGGUAUGUAAACUUCUAUCAGCAGGGAAGAAAACAGACGGUACCUGACUAAGAAGCCCCGGCUAACUACGUGCCAGCAGCCGCGGUAAUACGUAGGGGGCAAGCGUUAUCCGGAUUUACUGGGUGUAAAGGGGGCGCAGACGGCCAUGGCAAGCCCGGUGUGAAAGACAGGGGCAUAACCCCUGGACUGCACUGGGAACUGUCAGGCUGGAGUGCCGGAGGGGUAAGCGGAAUUCCUGGUGUAGCGGUGAAAUGCGUAGAUAUCAGGAGGAACACCGGCGGCGAAGGCGGCUUACUGGACGGAAACUGACGUUGAGGCUCGAAAGCGUGGGGAGCAAACAGGAUUAGAUACCCUGGUA
Molecule: ribosomal RNA, 448 nt
Filed under: uncultured bacterium
Lineage: Bacteria
Description: bacterial SSU rRNA
Rfam family: Bacterial small subunit ribosomal RNA
Source: RNAcentral